Long non-coding RNA from Myotis daubentonii (Daubenton's bat), 1370 nucleotides. RefSeq lists it as uncharacterized. NCBI's taxonomy places the organism in Eukaryota, Metazoa, Chordata, Mammalia, Chiroptera, Vespertilionidae. The record is from RefSeq and is a predicted model, not a curated record.
AAAAAUUUCACUCAAUCAAGAGCACAAAGAUUAUAAUAGGCAGGCUGUACAUCAAAAUAGUUAUUAAAACAGAAUUUACCAAUAGUCCACAAAUCAAAACUAAAGAAGUAAUUCAAACCUUGAGAAGUAAUACAUGCCUAGUUGCUCAUUCAUUUAUAAGAUUUUUCCUUUCCAGAGAGAGGUUAAAGAAACAAAUAUGGCCCUGACUGAAGAAAAAAAUCAACAAAUGUGUUCACUUAAUUUUAUGAUUUCUAAAAAUAAACUACACAAAUGAGGGAGAAAUUGGACCCUUCAGAUAGGAAGACCUAGUGUUAUUAAAUAAAGAGCACUUUUUAUGCAUUUGAAUGUAUUUAAAGGGGGAAAAAAUGUCAGUACUUGGAAAAUUCCAGAAACUUCCUCCCCUCAAAUGACAAGUACACAAUUUAGUUUGUUUGUAUAAAAACGAUAAUUUAUUUCACAUGAAAAUAUACAGAGGAAGUCAAGUAUGAGGCCAAGGACCCAAGUUCUUUCCUCAGAAUGCGAGCAUUCGGGGAAGCUUUUCUGCCCACUUCCCACAGCAGUGAAGGUGUCCGUGAGCUCCCCUGCCGGGAAGAGGCCUUACAGAGCCUCAUCUGCUGAGCCCUUGACUAUCCAUCAGCCAUCUCGGAGGCAGGGCUGGGGGCAAGGUGAAGAGGACUCAAUAGUAUGAUGCAGGUAAGUUGGUAGUGGCAGUGACCAUUACCAAAGGAGUACAACUUUACCAAAAGCAGUCACUAUAAAUAGAAAAUUCACUGUCAGACACAGUGAUAACUAUGUCAGAGUACAUGGGUUACAGGGAAAGUUGAUAAUGAGAGAAACACUUGGUUGAGUCAUAAUAAGAAAUGAAGAAACAAUAUCAUGACAUGUUAAUGGGAACAUCAUUCAAAUUACACAAAUUAAUUUGUAUUUAAAUCAUUUUUCCAAAGCAUAUUGUAUGCAGAAGAUCAACUGUACUAUAUAGAAGAUAUGCCUCUUUUUCUGUAGUCUCCCCGGUCCAUCACAGAAGAGUAUUACUAAUAGCCAAUAGCCUUCCAUAAUGCUAUGACAAUUAUCUCUGGAGCCUCAGAGAUCAUUGUUUCACUGGGUAACAUUUACAGAGAGUGGAGGCAAAUACACACACACAAAAUUGUCUCCCCACGAGGAAAUGUAUAAGCCAAAGAACCACAAAUAGUGACUCUUCCAUUCACAUACUUAAAGAGUUUUCACUCAAAAGACCUAAAUGUGAAAUAACCCGAUUUCCUGGUUUAGCUAAACAGUCCUUGUUUAUUUUUGUUUCCCCACAUAAUUGUAAUAGUACAGCCACCCUCCCUCCUGUAAAAGUGUUCCAGUUUGGACAAUAAAUUAUAUGGUGA